CCAUGUGUAGCGGUGAAAUGCGUAGAUAUAUGGAAGAACACCAGUGGCGAAGGCGGCUGUGUGGUCUGUAACUGACGCUGAGGCUCGAUAGUAUGGGUAGCUAACAGAAAUAGAUACCCUGGUAGUCCAUACCGUAAACGAUGAAUGCUAAGUGUUGGAGGGUAUCCGCCCUUCAGUGCUGCAGCUAUCGCAGUAAGCAUUCCGCCUGGGGAGUACGGCCGCAAGGCUGAAACUCAAAGGAAUUGACGGGGGCCCGCACAAGCGGUGGAGCAUGUGGUUUAAUUCGAAGCUACGCGAAGAACCUUACCAGGUCUUGACAUACUAUGCAAAUCUAAGAGAUUAGACGUUCCCUUCGGGGACAUGGAUACAGGUGGUGCAUGGUUGUCGUCAGCUCGUGUCGUGAGAUGUUGGGUUAAGUCCCGCAACGAGCGCAACCCUUAUUAUCAGUUGCCAGCAUUAAGUUGGGCACUCUGGUGAGACUGCCGGUGUCACACCGGAGGAAGGUGGGGAUGACGUCAAAUCAUCAUGCCCCUUAUGACCUGGGCUACACCCGUGCUCCAAUGGAUGGUACAUCGAGUUGCGAACUCGCGAGAGUAAGCUAAUCUCUUAAAGCCAUUCUCAGUUCGGAUUGUAGGCUGCAACUCGCCUACAUGAAGUCGGAAUCGCUAGUAAUCGCGGAUCAGCAUGCCGCGGUGAAUACGUUCCCGGGCCUUGUACACACCGCCCGUCACACCAUGAGAG
This 741-nucleotide ribosomal RNA is filed under the name Lactiplantibacillus plantarum. RNAcentral describes it as "bacterial SSU rRNA". It matches the Rfam family "Bacterial small subunit ribosomal RNA", at positions 669 to 1410 of the family's 1533-position model. Lineage: Bacteria; Bacillati; Bacillota; Bacilli; Lactobacillales; Lactobacillaceae. The record is from RNAcentral.